RNAcentral lists this ribosomal RNA (2221 nucleotides) under Klebsiella pneumoniae. RNAcentral describes it as "bacterial LSU rRNA". It matches the Rfam family "Bacterial large subunit ribosomal RNA", at positions 727 to 2925 of the family's 2925-position model. The record is from RNAcentral. RNAcentral also lists the same sequence under 1 other name. Lineage: Bacteria; Pseudomonadati; Pseudomonadota; Gammaproteobacteria; Enterobacterales; Enterobacteriaceae.
GAUCUAGCCAUGGGCAGGUUGAAGGUUGGGUAACACUAACUGGAGGACCGAACCGACUAAUGUUGAAAAAUUAGCGGAUGACUUGUGGCUGGGGGUGAAAGGCCAAUCAAACCGGGAGAUAGCUGGUUCUCCCCGAAAGCUAUUUAGGUAGCGCCUCGUGAACUCAUCUUCGGGGGUAGAGCACUGUUUCGGCUAGGGGGUCAUCCCGACUUACCAACCCGAUGCAAACUACGAAUACCGAAGAAUGUUAUCACGGGAGACACACGGCGGGUGCUAACGUCCGUCGUGAAGAGGGAAACAACCCAGACCGCCAGCUAAGGUCCCAAAGUCAUGGUUAAGUGGGAAACGAUGUGGGAAGGCACAGACAGCCAGGAUGUUGGCUUAGAAGCAGCCAUCAUUUAAAGAAAGCGUAAUAGCUCACUGGUCGAGUCGGCCUGCGCGGAAGAUGUAACGGGGCUAAACCAUGCACCGAAGCUGCGGCAGCGACACUAUGUGUUGUUGGGUAGGGGAGCGUUCUGUAAGCCUGCGAAGGUGGCCUGUGAGGGUUGCUGGAGGUAUCAGAAGUGCGAAUGCUGACAUAAGUAACGAUAAAGCGGGUGAAAAGCCCGCUCGCCGGAAGACCAAGGGUUCCUGUCCAACGUUAAUCGGGGCAGGGUGAGUCGACCCCUAAGGCGAGGCCGAAAGGCGUAGUCGAUGGGAAACAGGUUAAUAUUCCUGUACUUGGUGUUACUGCGAAGGGGGGACGGAGAAGGCUAUGUUAGCCGGGCGACGGUUGUCCCGGUUUAAGCAUGUAGGCUGAUUAUCCAGGCAAAUCCGGAUAAUCAAGGCUGAGGUGUGAUGACGAGGCACUACGGUGCUGAAGUAACAAAUGCCCUGCUUCCAGGAAAAGCCUCUAAGCAUCAGGUAACAUCAAAUCGUACCCCAAACCGACACAGGUGGUCAGGUAGAGAAUACCAAGGCGCUUGAGAGAACUCGGGUGAAGGAACUAGGCAAAAUGGUGCCGUAACUUCGGGAGAAGGCACGCUGGUGUGUAGGUGAAGUCCCUGCGGAUGGAGCUGAGACCAGUCGAAGAUACCAGCUGGCUGCAACUGUUUAUUAAAAACACAGCACUGUGCAAACACGAAAGUGGACGUAUACGGUGUGACGCCUGCCCGGUGCCGGAAGGUUAAUUGAUGGGGUUAUCCGUAAGGAGAAGCUCUUGAUCGAAGCCCCGGUAAACGGCGGCCGUAACUAUAACGGUCCUAAGGUAGCGAAAUUCCUUGUCGGGUAAGUUCCGACCUGCACGAAUGGCGUAAUGAUGGCCAGGCUGUCUCCACCCGAGACUCAGUGAAAUUGAACUCGCUGUGAAGAUGCAGUGUACCCGCGGCAAGACGGAAAGACCCCGUGAACCUUUACUAUAGCUUGACACUGAACAUUGAGCCUUGAUGUGUAGGAUAGGUGGGAGGCUUUGAAGCGUGGACGCCAGUCUGCGUGGAGCCAACCUUGAAAUACCACCCUUUAAUGUUUGAUGUUCUAACGUAGGCCCCUUAUCGGGGUUGCGGACAGUGUCUGGUGGGUAGUUUGACUGGGGCGGUCUCCUCCCAAAGCGUAACGGAGGAGCACGAAGGUUAGCUAAUCCUGGUCGGACAUCAGGAGGUUAGUGCAAUGGCAUAAGCUAGCUUGACUGCGAGCGUGACGGCGCGAGCAGGUGCGAAAGCAGGUCAUAGUGAUCCGGUGGUUCUGAAUGGAAGGGCCAUCGCUCAACGGAUAAAAGGUACUCCGGGGAUAACAGGCUGAUACCGCCCAAGAGUUCAUAUCGACGGCGGUGUUUGGCACCUCGAUGUCGGCUCAUCACAUCCUGGGGCUGAAGUAGGUCCCAAGGGUAUGGCUGUUCGCCAUUUAAAGUGGUACGCGAGCUGGGUUUAGAACGUCGUGAGACAGUUCGGUCCCUAUCUGCCGUGGGCGCUGGAGAAUUGAGGGGGGCUGCUCCUAGUACGAGAGGACCGGAGUGGACGCAUCACUGGUGUUCGGGUUGUCAUGCCAAUGGCACUGCCCGGUAGCUAAAUGCGGAAGAGAUAAGUGCUGAAAGCAUCUAAGCACGAAACUUGCCCCGAGAUGAGUUCUCCCUGAGACUUUAAGUCUCCUGAAGGAACGUUGAAGACGACGACGUUGAUAGGCCGGGUGUGUAAGCGCAGCGAUGCGUUGAGCUAACCGGUACUAAUGAACCGUGAGGCUUAACCUU